Molecule: ribosomal RNA, 461 nt
Filed under: uncultured bacterium
Lineage: Bacteria
Description: SSU rRNA
Rfam family: Bacterial small subunit ribosomal RNA
Source: RNAcentral
AGAACGAACGCUGGCGGCAGGCCUAACACAUGCAAGUCGAACGCCGUAGCAAUACGGAGUGGCAGACGGGUGAGUAACGCGUGGGAACAUACCCCUCGGUUCGGAAUAACUCAGGGAAACUUGAGCUAAUACCGGAUACGUCCGAGGUUUUAAUCGACCUUGGAGAAAGAUUUAUCGCCGGAGGAUUGGCCCGCGUCUGAUUAGCUUGUUGGUGAGGUAAUGGCUCACCAAGGCGACGAUCAGUAGCUGGGUCUGAGAGGAUGAUCAGCCACAUUGGGACUGAGACACGGCCCAAACUCCUACGGGAGGCAGCAGUGGGGAAUAUUGGACAAUGGGCGAAAGCCUGAUCCAGCCAUGCCGCGUGAGUGAUGAAGGCCUUAGGGUUGUAAAGCUCUUUUACCCGGGAAGAUAAUGACGGUACCGGGAGAAUAAGCCCCGGCUAACUUCGUGCCAGCAGCCGC